This 497-nucleotide ribosomal RNA is filed under the name uncultured bacterium. RNAcentral describes it as "bacterial SSU rRNA". It matches the Rfam family "Bacterial small subunit ribosomal RNA", at positions 24 to 518 of the family's 1533-position model. The record is from RNAcentral.
UCAGGAUGAACGCUGGCGGCGUGCUUAAUACAUGCAAGUCGAACGAAGCACUUUGACAGAUCCCCUCGGGGUGAAGAUGAUUGUGACUUAGUGGCGGACGGGUGAGUAACGCGUGGGGAACCCGCCUCGUGCUGGGGGAUAACAGUUAGAAAUGACUGCUAAUACCGCAUAAGCGCACAGUAAGGCAUCUUACAGUGUGAAAAGAUUUAUCGGCAUGAGAUGGACCCGCGUCUGAUUAGGUAGUUGGCGGGGUAACGGCCCACCAAGCCCGCGAUCAGUAGCCGACUUGAGAGAGUGAUCGGCCACAUUGGGACUGAGACACGGCCCAGACUCCUACGGGAGGCAGCAGUGGGGAAUAUUGGACAAUGGGGGAAACCCUGAUCCAGCGAACCGCCGCGUGAGUGAAGAAGUAUUUCGGUAUGUAAAGCUCUAUCAGCAGGGAAGAUAAUGACAGUACCUGACUAAGAAGCCCCGGCUAACUACGUGCCAGCCGCAGC